AUACGUAGGAACCAAGCGUUGUCCGGAAUUACUGGGUGUAAAGGGUGCGCAGGCGGAUUUGUGCGUCAAGGGUUAAAUACCUCGGCUCAACCGAGGAAAUGCCUUUGAUACGGCAAGUCUUGAGUACGAGAGAGGAUGGUAGAAUUCCUGGUGUAGCGGUGAAAUGCGUAGAUAUCAGGAGGAAUACCCGUGGCGAAGGCGGCCAUCUGGCUCGUUACUGACGCUCAGGCACGAAAGCGUGGGGAGCAAACAGAAUUAGAAACCCGUGUAGUCC
Molecule: ribosomal RNA, 274 nt
Filed under: uncultured bacterium
Lineage: Bacteria
Description: partial 16S ribosomal RNA
Rfam family: Bacterial small subunit ribosomal RNA
Source: RNAcentral